Molecule: ribosomal RNA, 427 nt
Filed under: uncultured bacterium
Lineage: Bacteria
Description: bacterial SSU rRNA
Rfam family: Bacterial small subunit ribosomal RNA
Source: RNAcentral
UGGGGAAUUUUGGACAAUGGGCGCAAGCCUGAUCCAGCCAUGCCGCGUGCAGGAUGAAGGCCCUCGGGUUGUAAACUGCUUUUGUACGGAACGAAAAGCCUCUUUCUAAUAAAGAGGGGUGAUGACGGUACCGUAAGAAUAGGCACCGGCUAACUACGUGCCAGCAGCCGCGGUAAUACGUAGGGUGCGAGCGUUAAUCGGAAUUACUGGGCGUAAAGCGUGCGCAGGCGGUCUUGCAAGACAGUGGUGAAAUCCCCGGGCUCAACCUGGGAACUGCCAUUGUGACUGCAAGGCUGGAGUACGGCAGAGGGGGAUGGAAUUCCGCGUGUAGCAGUGAGAUGCGUAGAUAUGCGGAGGAACACCGAUGGCGAAGGCAGUCCCCUGGGCCUGUACUGACGCUCAUGCACGAAAGCGUGGGGAGCAAACA